CCUACGGGGGGCAGCAGUGGGGAAUGUUGCGCAAUGAUCGGAAGAGUGACGCAGCGACGCCGCGUGAAUGACGAAGGCCUUCGGGUCGUAAAGUUCUUUCGACAGGGAAGAAAAUGCCUAUAAGUAACUGUGUAUGUAUUGACGGUACCCGUAUAAGCAGCCCCGGCUAACUCCGUGCCAGCAGCCGCGGUAAUACGGAGGGGGCGAGCGUUGUUCGGAGGGACUGGGCGUAAAGAGCACGUAGGCGGUGUUGUAAGUCAUUAGUCAAAGACUAGAGCUCAACUUUAGUAAGGCUAGUGAUACUAUAAUACUAGAGUAUCAGAGAGGAUUGCAGAAUUCCUGGUGUAGCGGUGAAAUGCGUAGAUAUCAGGAGGAAUACCGUUAGCGAAGGCGGCAAUCUGGCUGGAAACUGACGCUGAGGUGCGAAAGCGUGGGUAGCAAACAGGAUUAGAUACCCCUGUAGUC
RNAcentral lists this ribosomal RNA (465 nucleotides) under uncultured bacterium. RNAcentral's name for it is "partial 16S ribosomal RNA". It matches the Rfam family "Bacterial small subunit ribosomal RNA", at positions 338 to 795 of the family's 1533-position model. The record is from RNAcentral.